GAUGAACGCUGGCGGCGUGCCUAAUACAUGCAAGUCGAGCGAACGGACGAGAAGCUUGCUUCUCUGAUGUUAGCGGCGGACGGGUGAGUAACACGUGGAUAACCUACCUAUAAGACUGGGAUAACUUCGGGAAACCGGAGCUAAUACCGGAUGAUAUUUUGAACCGUAUGGUUCACAAGUGAAAGACGGUCUUGCUGUCACUUAUAGAUGGAUCCGCGCUGCAUUAGCUAGUUGGUAAGGUAACGGCUUACCAAGGCAACGAUGCAUAGCCGACCUGAGAGGGUGAUCGGCCACACUGGAACUGAGACACGGUCCAGACUCCUACGGGAGGCAGCAGUAGGGAAUCUUCCGCAAUGGGCGAAAGCCUGACGGAGCAACGCCGCGUGAGUGAUGAAGGUCUUCGGAUCGUAAAACUCUGUUAUUGGGAAAGAACAGUUGUGUAAUUAACUGUGCACAUCUUGACGGUACCUAAUCAGAAAGCCACGGCUAACUACGUG
Molecule: ribosomal RNA, 497 nt
Filed under: uncultured bacterium
Lineage: Bacteria
Description: partial 16S ribosomal RNA
Rfam family: Bacterial small subunit ribosomal RNA
Source: RNAcentral